AUUGAACGCUGGCGGCAUGCCUUACACAUGCAAGUCGAACGGCAGCACGGGUGCUUGCACCUGGUGGCGAGUGGCGAACGGGUGAGUAAUACAUCGGAACGUACCUUAUCGUGGGGGAUAACGCAGCGAAAGCUGUGCUAAUAUCGCAUACGCCCUGAGGGGGAAAGCGGGGGAUCGCAAGACCUCGCGCGAUUAGAGCGGCCGAUGCCUGAUUAGCUUGUUGGUGGGGUAAAAGCCCACCAAGGCGACGAUCAGUAGCUGGUCUGAGAGGACGAUCAGCCACACUGGGACUGAGACACGGCCCAAACUCCUACGGGAGGCAGCAGUGGGGAAUUUUGGACAAUGGGGGCAACCCUGAUCCAGCAAUGCCGCGUGAGUGAAGAAGGCCUUCGGGUUGUAAAGCUCUUUUGUCAGGGAAGAAACACCGGCUCUAACACAGUCCGGGAAUGACGGUACCUGAAGAAUAAGCACCGGCUAACUACGUGCCAGCCGCCGCCGUAA
This 501-nucleotide ribosomal RNA is filed under the name uncultured bacterium. Its description in RNAcentral is "partial 16S ribosomal RNA". It matches the Rfam family "Bacterial small subunit ribosomal RNA", at positions 30 to 523 of the family's 1533-position model. The record is from RNAcentral.